AUUGAACGCUGGCGGCAUGCCUUACACAUGCAAGUCGAACGGCAGCACGGGAGCAAUCCUGGUGGCGAGUGGCGAACGGGUGAGUAAUAUAUCGGAACGUGCCCAGUCGUGGGGAUAACGUAGCGAAAGCUACGCUAAUACCGCAUACGAUCUAUGGAUGAAAGCGGGGGAUCGCAAGACCUCGCGCGAUUGGAGCGGCCGAUAUCAGAUUAGGUAGUUGGUGAGGUAAAGGCUCACCAAGCCGACGAUCUGUAGCUGGUCUGAGAGGACGACCAGCCACACUGGAACUGAGACACGGUCCAGACUCCUACGGGAGGCAGCAGUGGGGAAUUUUGGACAAUGGGGGCAACCCUGAUCCAGCAAUGCCGCGUGAGUGAAGAAGGCC
This 385-nucleotide ribosomal RNA is filed under the name uncultured bacterium. RNAcentral describes it as "bacterial SSU rRNA". It matches the Rfam family "Bacterial small subunit ribosomal RNA", at positions 30 to 416 of the family's 1533-position model. The record is from RNAcentral.